UUUGUGAAGCCGGGCUGUAAGGCAUCCGGUGGAGUGAUCAGAAGUGAGAAUGUUGACAUGAGUAGCGACAAACAGGGUGAGAGACCCUGUCGCCGAAAGUCCAAGGGUUCCUGCUUAAAGCUAAUCUGAGCAGGGUAAGCCGGCCCCUAAGGCGAGGCCGAAAGGCGUAGUCGAUGGAAACCAGGUUAAUAUUCCUGGGCCAGGAGAUGGUGACGGAUCGUGGAAGUUGUCAGGCCUUAACGGAUUGGUCUGGCAGCCAGACGGUCCCUGGAAAUAGCCCUCCACAAGACCGUACCCUAAACCGACAUAGGUGGACUGGUAGAGAAUACCAAGGCGCUUGAGAGAACCACAUUUAAGGAACUCGGCAAAAUACCUCCGUAAGUUCGCGAGAAGGAGGCCCCGUUGUUGCGCAAGCAGUGGCGGGGGGCACAAAAAUGGGGGUGGCGACUGUUUACUAAAAACACAGGGCUCUGCGAAGUCGCAAGACGACGUAUAGGGUCUGACGCCUGCCCGGUGCCGGAAGGUUAAAAGGAGAUGUGCAAGCAUUGAAUUGAAGCCCCGGUAAACGGCGGCCGUAACUAUAACGGUCCUAAGGUAGCGAAAUUCCUUGUCGGGUAAGUUCCGACCUGCACGAAUGGCGUAACGACUUCCCCGCUGUCUCAAAUGUGGACUCAGCGAAAUUGAAUUGUCUGUGAGGAUGCAGACUUCCCGCGGUUAGACGGAAAGACCCCAUGCACCUUUACUAUAGCUUCGCACUGGCAUCAGGAUUGUGAUGUGCAGGAUAGGUGGUAGGCAUUGAAACCGGGACGCCAGUUCCGGUGGAGCCAUCCUUGAGAUACCACCCUUCGCACUCUUGAUGUCUAACCGCGGCCCGUUAUCCGGGUCCGGGACCCUGCGUGGUGGGUAGUUUGACUGGGGCGGUCGCCUCCCAAACAGUAACGGAGGCGCGCGAAGGUAGGCUCAGAGCGGUCGGAAAUCGCUCGUUGAGUGCAAUGGCAGAAGCCUGCCUGACUGCAAGACUGACAAGUCGAGCAGAGACGAAAGUCGGUCAUAGUGAUCCGGUGGUCCCGAGUGGAAGGGCCAUCGCUCAACGGAUAAAAGGUACGCUGGGGAUAACAGGCUGAUGAUGCCCAAGAGUCCAUAUCGACGGCAUCGUUUGGCACCUCGAUGUCGGCUCAUCUCAUCCUGGGGCUGGAGCAGGUCCCAAGGGUACGGCUGUUCGCCGUUUAAAGAGGUACGUGAGCUGGGUUUAGAACGUCGUGAGACAGUUCGGUCCCUAUCUGCCGUGGGUGUAGGAUACUUGAGAGGAGUUGCCCCUAGUACGAGAGGACCGGGGUGAACGUUCCACUGGUGGACCAGUUGUCGUGCCAACGGCAGUGCUGGGUAGCUAUGAACGGACAGGAUAAACGCUGAAGGCAUCUAAGCGUGAAGCCCCCCUCAAAACAAGGUAUCCCUUGAGAGCCGUGGAAGACCACCACGUCGAUAGGCCGGAGAUGUAAGCGCAGCAAUGCGUUCAGUUGACCGGUACUAAU
Molecule: ribosomal RNA, 1532 nt
Filed under: metagenome
Description: bacterial LSU rRNA
Rfam family: Bacterial large subunit ribosomal RNA
Source: RNAcentral